GAAAAAAUUAAAGUUAACGAAGCUCUGGGAAAAAAUGAAUAGAAAAUAAUAGAAGUUCAUAACGUUGAAAAGAUGUUCCACAUUUAGGAAUAAACCCAUCGGUUUAUGAUGUUUCAUCCAUCAAUUGCUAACUGUGAGGAUGAAAAAAAAAGAUAACGAAGAUCAAAGAAAGAAUGAAUCGAAGUUUAUAGUGAUGAAAAUAGUCUUCACAUUACGGAAUAAAUCCAUCGCACAUCAAGCCCGGCAUUGUUCCGUUCUGCUGACAUCAUUGUGCUGAUAAUUCGGCCGCUGAUGAAGAUGCCAAGGAUCAGACGAGGUGGCCCGCAUCUGGGCAAAAUGCAUUUGUCAAUUUGCUAGGCAGAUGUUCGGAGUCAAGAAAUAUAACCAAAAUCAUAAAAUGGAAGAAUUCAAAAGGUCUGACGUUCGUCCCACUAGACACGGAAGUUAUAAUGAAAACCGAAAAGCAAGAAAUAGCGAUCUCUCCACUCCGUAAUCUAUGUUCAACCAUUUAUUUCCAAAGCGAAUAAACGUCAAGUUGUGUUCGCAUGCUUCGAUAUCUUCUUGUCACCCCUUUCCGAAGAGAAAUAUAUAUGUAUUAAGGAUACUGAUCUAACAAAUCUAUGUGACAUGAUGGCUUGUAUCAAGAAGCGAACACUAUAAAUUCAU
Harmonia axyridis is the source of this 666-nucleotide long non-coding RNA. RefSeq lists it as uncharacterized. The transcript is spliced from 5 exons. NCBI's taxonomy places the organism in Eukaryota, Metazoa, Arthropoda, Insecta, Coleoptera, Coccinellidae. The record is from RefSeq and is a predicted model, not a curated record.